UACAUAAAGCCAGUCUGCGCAUAACCGC
RNAcentral lists this small RNA (28 nucleotides) under Bombyx mori (domestic silkworm). RNAcentral's name for it is "ovarian small RNA-5966". Lineage: Eukaryota; Metazoa; Arthropoda; Insecta; Lepidoptera; Bombycidae. The record is from RNAcentral.